This 554-nucleotide ribosomal RNA is filed under the name uncultured bacterium. Its description in RNAcentral is "bacterial SSU rRNA". It matches the Rfam family "Bacterial small subunit ribosomal RNA", at positions 777 to 1345 of the family's 1533-position model. The record is from RNAcentral.
AAUAGAUACCCGGGUAGUCCACGCCGUAAACGAUGGAUGCUAGCUGUUAUGCGUAUCGACCCGUGUAGUAGCGAAGCUAACGCGUUAAGCAUCCCGCCUGGGGAGUACGAACGCAAGUUUAAAACUCAAAGGAAUUGACGGGGACCCGCACAAGCGGUGGAGCGUGUUCUUUAAUUCGAGGCUAAGCGAAGAACCUUACCAGGGCUUGACAUCCUUGGAAUUUCUCCGAAAGGAGAGAGUACCUUAUUGGACCAAGUGACAGGUGCUGCAUGGCCGUCGUCAGCUCGUGUCGUGAGAUGUUUGGUUAAGUCCAUUAACGAGCGCAACCCUUAUGAAUAGUUGUAUUUUUCUAUUCAGACUGCCCCGGUAACGGGGAGGAAGGGGGGAUGAUGUCAGGUCAGUAUUGCCCUUACGCCCUGGGCUAGAAACGCGCUACAAUGGCCGGUACAAUGCGCUGCCAACCCGCGAGGGGGAGCAAAUCGCAUCAAAGCCGGUCCCAGUUCGGAUAAGAGGCUGAAACUCGCCUCUUUGAAGCCGGAAUCGCUAGUAAUCGU